RNAcentral lists this transfer RNA (89 nucleotides) under Gemmiger gallinarum. RNAcentral's name for it is "tRNA-Ser". It matches the Rfam family "tRNA". From Rfam's summary of the family: Transfer RNA (tRNA) molecules are approximately 80 nucleotides in length. Their secondary structure includes four short double-helical elements and three loops (D, anti-codon, and T loops). The record is from RNAcentral. Lineage: Bacteria; Bacillati; Bacillota; Clostridia; Eubacteriales; Oscillospiraceae. RNAcentral also lists the same sequence under 3 other names.
GGAGGGGUGUCCGAGUGGUUUAUGGAGCUGGUCUUGAAAACCAGUGACGCAGCAAUGCGCCGUGGGUUCGAAUCCCACCCUCUCCGCCA